RNAcentral lists this ribosomal RNA (253 nucleotides) under uncultured bacterium. Its description in RNAcentral is "partial 16S ribosomal RNA". It matches the Rfam family "Bacterial small subunit ribosomal RNA", at positions 524 to 776 of the family's 1533-position model. The record is from RNAcentral.
UACGGAGGGGGCUAGCGUUGUUCGGAAUUACUGGGCGUAAAGCGCUUGUAGGCGGUCCACCAAGUUUGGGGUGACAGUUGCCGACUUAAUCGGCAAAGUGCCUCAAAGACUGGCGGACUUGAGGGCCACAGAGGGACAUGGAACUCCGGGUGUAGUGGUGAAAUGCGUAGAUAUCUGGAAGAACACCAAAGGCGAAGGCAGUGUCCUGGGUGGUCGCUGACGCUGAGAGGCGAAAGCCAGGGGAGCGAACGGG